Long non-coding RNA from Pongo pygmaeus (Bornean orangutan), 3322 nucleotides. RefSeq lists it as uncharacterized. Lineage: Eukaryota; Metazoa; Chordata; Mammalia; Primates; Hominidae. The transcript is spliced from 4 exons. The record is from RefSeq and is a predicted model, not a curated record.
AACAAGAAUGCUACUGAAUUGUUCCAUGCUGUUAAGAUGGUGAAGGCUGGGGUGAGCAGGAAGGUAGCACCAGAGGAGGGCUGCUGUUCCAGAUUUCAGACGAUGACUUAUAAAGUUUCUCUUGCCUUCCCUUCUUUCCACCAAAGAAGGAAUGAUAAACAGGGUAACAGCGGCCAUCUUAAAGACUGAAUGGCAGAGGGAGAAGGAGCAUGAUAAACACGUUUUGUGGUUGCAGCCAGGUAACAGCAGAUCCCCAAGCCAGCUAAGGACAUGGGCCUUCACCAUCUCACCUUUCAGUUAUCCACCGAAGGGGGAAAACACACAUACUGAAUACUCACAGAAGCAGAUGAAAAUUGUUUCAACACACAUUGCAUAGACGCUGAAGAACCCAUGUGCAAUCAGGUAUUAGAAAUUUCUUCGUUAUCUGCCGGUUUGCAACCUAUAUCCUCUAACUUCUGGGGAAGAAAUGACCAUUUUACCAUUUUUUCCACAUAGCAACCCUUCAGAGUUUUACUCUUGUUGCCCAGGCUGGAGUGCAAUGUCAUGAUCUCAGCUCACCGCAACCUCUGCCUUCCGGUUCAAGUGAUUCUCCUGCCUCAGCCUCCCAAGUAGCUGGGAUUACAGGCAUGCGCCACCACGCCCGGCUAAUUUUGUAUCUUUAGUAGAGACAGGGUUUCUCCAUGUUAGUCAGGCUGGUCUCGAACUCCCGACCUCAGGUGACCAGCCUGCCUCGGCCUCCCAAAUGCCUCGGCCGGGAUUACAGGUGUGAACCACUGUGCCCAGCCAAAAGUGUUCUUAAAAGGAAAAUAGGUGAGAUAUUUAUGCAAGGGACAGUGACUGAUUUUACUGACUGAUACACUUUAGCUGAGUUUCUACAUUAAGGGCCUUACUUGCUUCCUUCCUUCAGCAGGAUAAUGGCGACUCGGAUUCGAUUCCUGAGGAAGAUCAGCAUGAGGAUGACAAUCACUUCAAUGAUGCAGAGUAUUAUCACUUUGAACAGGAAAAAAAAAUCAGUCUGUAAUACAAGUAGAUAUGGAAACAAACCUUCCCUGCAAAUGCUAGGAUUGAACUUUAUUUCUGCCAAUUCUGACACCUCAUAAUCUAAGCAGUGUUAUCUCUCCAAAAAUGCCAGUCUUAGAGAUUAACUUUCACAAAAUCCUAAGAAAUCUAGAUUAAAGCCUUUAGCAAGAGCUUGAACAUCUCUUUUGGAAAGGGUUCAUCUCAUCCAUAAAAGCAUUUCACACAACUUGUAGAACUUAGAAAAUAGGAAUGGCAAAAGGGAAGGGCUGCUUUAGGUAGUUCUAUUUUAGAUGUUUUCACCUUUAGUUCAUUGAGUAAGACAAUAUACAGAAGACACGUUUUGAGCUGUUCACUUUCUUCAUAAUGCCUCUUAACUGUCCUUGCUGGCUGGCAGGGCAGGUUCUUGGCUGUCCCAUUAUUAUUUUGUGACUCUUCGCACUAUGGGCACCAUUGAUGGAAUCAGGGUGUAAACUUAACCCAAUUUGGCCAAUAUAAGUAUUAGAAUUUAAACUAAGGGAACCUAGUUUAGUCAACUUAAUUUAUUUAGUUUUGAAUUGAAAUUUAUAAAUCUUGAAUUGCAGGUUAUACAAACUGCGUCAAAACCAUCUUUAUGUGAAAUAAGUGAAUCUGCAGAGAAAGAAUAAAGUAUAGUUGUAUAAAGAAAGACAGCAAGGAGAAGAAAUCUUGGGUUCUUUUUGGCUUUCAUUUCCUGACUCCAAGUAAACUUUGAAGUCCAGCUACCUUUCUGCUUUUUUGAGUUUGACGAGGCACUUCUAUAUCCUUACAGUAAAUACCAUCUGCUCUGCUCUCAGCCUGUUCCCAUUUUCUUUUCUCUUCAGCUAGCUUGAAUUAGUUUUUUUAAACUUGAAGCCAAAUAUCAUCAAUUAUUAUAUUUCCUCAUUUCUAAGACACAUCCUUAAUUAAGUAAUAACUUUUUAGGAAAAGUGAAGAAACACUUCAUUAAAUGUUUAUUUAAUAAUUUUAAGAUGCAACCUGACUUCAGAAGUGUUAAAAAGUAAAAGUUAUGGAUCUUAAAAUCAAGAAACAGAAUCUAAAAUUGUACAAGGAACUUAAUGGAAACUUAAAUUCCCACUUGUGAAAGAAUCCAGUCUAUAACCUCCUUGCUAGAUGGUUAUUUAGCUCACGCUUGAACAGUUCUGUUGAUGGAGAGCUCAUUAUUUCAUUCUAUUAUUAUAUCACUAAAAUUCUGACACAUCACACAUCAGUUACUGUCUCCAAGUAAGCAGAAGUUCACCCAGAGGUAUAUGAAGAUCUUAGUAAUGUAACAUCUUACUUCUACAUCUUCCUUUAGUUAUACUACGUAUUUAUGUUUUCAUGUACAUUUUAUUCUCUUAAAACACUAAUUCAAACCCAAAAUUGUGGUGUGUAACCAUAUUAUGCUAAAAUUGUUAUCUUCUUUGAAUGAACCUAUAAAGAUAAUACAUAUAAGAGUCACUUUAUAUUAUGACAUUGCACUGUUAAAAAACUCUUUAUAUCUAACUUCCGCCUUUAUAAAAUUGCACCCUCAAAAUAAUUACAUUAGAGAAAUAUAACUGUCUUUUGAACUUACAUACAGUCAUGCACUGCAUGACAAUGUUUUGGUUAACAAUGGACUUCAUAUACAAUGCCAGUCCUGUAAGAUUAUAAUGGAGCUAAAAAAUUCCUAUUGCCCAGUGGCAUCGUAGUGCAAUGCAUUAUUCAUGUGUUUGGAGUGAUGUUGGUGUAAACAAACCUAUUGUGCUGACAGUCAUAUAAAAGUACAGCACAUACAAGUAGGUAUAGCAUAUAAUGCUUGAUGCUAAUAAUGAAUGAGUUUGUUAUUGUUUUAUGUAUUUACUACACAAUAUUUUUUGUUAUUUCAGAGUGUACUCCCACUACUUACUAUUAAAAAAGUUAUCUGUAAAACAGCUUCAGGUGGGUCUUUCAGGAAUAUUCCAGAAAAAGGCAUUAUUAUAAUAGGAGAUGACAGCUCCAUGUUUUUUAUUGUCCCCGAAGACCUUCCAGUGGGACAAGACGUGGAGGUGGAAGAAAGUGAUAUUGAUGAUCCUGACCCUGUGUAGGUCUAGGAUAAUGUAUGUAUUUGUGUCUUUAAAUUUUAAAUUUUUUGUUUCUAAUUUUUUAGAUAAAAUAGAGAUAGGGUCUCAUUCUGUUGCCCAGGCUGGUCUUGAACUCCUGGGUUCAAAUGAUCCUCCCACCUUGGCCUCCCAAAGUGCUAGGAUUAUAGGCAUGAGCCACCACACCUGGCCUGUGCCUCCAUUUUUAACAAAACAUAUUGAAAGUAAAAAAAAAAAAAAAAAAAAAA